UACGGGGGGGGCAAGCGUUGUUCGGAAUUAUUGGGCGUAAAGAGCUCGUAGGCGGUCUGUCGCGUCCGUUGUGAAAACUCGAGGCUCAACCUCGGGCUUGCAGUGGAUACGGGCAGACUAGAGUGCGGUAGGGGAGACUGGAAUUCCUGGUGUAGCGGUGGAAUGCGCAGAUAUCAGGAGGAACACCGAUGGCGAAGGCAGGUCUCUGGGCCGCAACUGACGCUGAGGAGCGAAAGCAUGGGGAGCGAACAGG
This 253-nucleotide ribosomal RNA is filed under the name uncultured bacterium. RNAcentral describes it as "partial 16S ribosomal RNA". It matches the Rfam family "Bacterial small subunit ribosomal RNA", at positions 524 to 776 of the family's 1533-position model. The record is from RNAcentral.